GGUCGCUUAUUUCAGUUGGUUAGAAUGUGGACCUAAUAAAAGUUCACAGUCCAAGGUCGGCGGUUCGAGCCCGCCAGUGACCA
Non-coding RNA from Atractiella rhizophila, 83 nucleotides. Lineage: Eukaryota; Fungi; Basidiomycota; Atractiellomycetes; Atractiellales; Hoehnelomycetaceae. The record is from the annotation of a GenBank genome assembly.